AUUAACGCUAGCGGCAGGCAUAAUACAUGCAAGUUGAACGAGAUAAGUUUUAGCAAUAGAACUUUGAAAGUGGCGCACGGGUGCGUAACACGUAUGCAACCUGCCCCAAACAGGGGGAUAGCCUCUCGAAAGAGAGAUUAAUACCCCAUAAUAAUGUUGUUGGGCAUCUAAUGAUAUUUAAAGCUGAGGCGGUUUGGGAUGGGCAUGCGGUUGAUUAGGUAAUUGGUGAGGUAACGGCUCACCAAGCCAACGAUCAAUAGGGGGUCUGAGAGGAUGUCCCCCCACACUGGUACUGAGACACGGACCAGACUCCUACGGGAGGCAGCAGUAGGGAAUAUUGGACAAUGGGGGCAACCCUGAUCCAGCCAUGCCGCGUGCAGGAAGACUGCCCUAUGGGUUGUAAACUGCUUUUGUACGGGAAGAAACCUCACUACGAGUAGUGAGUUGACGGUACCGUGAGAAUAAGGAUCGGCUAACUUCGUGCCAGCAGCCGCGGUAAUACGAAGGAUCCAAGCGUUGUCCGGAUUUACUGGGUUUAAAGGGUGCGUAGGCGGGCUAUUAAGUCAGUGGUGAAAGCCGAUCGCUUAACGAUCGAACUGCCAUUGAAACUGAUAGUCUUGAGUAUGUUUGAGGUUACUGGAAUAUAACAUGUAGCGGUGAAAUGCUUAGAUAUGUUAUAGAACACCAAUUGC
Molecule: ribosomal RNA, 692 nt
Filed under: uncultured bacterium
Lineage: Bacteria
Description: bacterial SSU rRNA
Rfam family: Bacterial small subunit ribosomal RNA
Source: RNAcentral